RNAcentral lists this transfer RNA (64 nucleotides) under Paratapes undulatus (undulate venus clam). Its description in RNAcentral is "tRNA-Gly". The record is from RNAcentral. Lineage: Eukaryota; Metazoa; Mollusca; Bivalvia; Venerida; Veneridae.
GUAAUAAUAGUAUAAGUAAGUAUUUCUGUCUUCCAAACAGAGGGUUCAAGGGUGGAUUAUUACA